AUACAGUUUGUAUUUGGUUUAUUUCUACGGGGAGUGUCACCAUGCAUUUUCAUAUGCUUUCCUGUCUCAGUAGGCUUCUUCAUUGGACAGGUUUAUGGAAGAAUGUUAGGAAAUAAAUCUCUCUUGGGGGGUUGGGGCAGCUCGUGGGGGGGAUGGGCAAUUGGAAUUUUUGUGGUUGUGUUUCAUUAAAAACGAGUGAGAUUGUUGGCUAAACCUUGGUGUGGAAAUUCUUGUCCUAGAAGCCAGUUUAUAAGGCUCUUGUUUUGUCAGCUCAAAAUGGUGAUGAGCUUGUGAGUAAACGUUUUAUUUAUUUAUUUUUGUUCAAUUGUUUUAAUGUAACAAGGGAACAUUUUAGAAGGGAUGGAAGAGAGGAGAGGAAUUUUGUGGAUCUUGAUAUACGGGUCUCUUCUGAAGUUGGGGAAGUGGAUAAAUUUGGAUGGUGUCGAUAAAGAGAGAUGAAAUUCAGUGUUAUAAAAUAUCUCCAGAAGACUGUAUUCUCAUUUAUAAAUUAUCUUUGAAAACAUCCAUACUUUGAGAACUGAAAAAUAAAACUAAUUUAGAAUAAUUUAAUCUAUCAAAAAUUCGAUUGGCAUCCAAAUAAAAUACAAUCUAAUUCAUUUUGCUGUGAAAGAAAAUAUUAUGCAAUAAAAUUGGAAAGACAUGUUACAUCAGUAUAUAUCUGUGGUAACCAUCUAUAAAGAUGGAAAAAAUCCCAAGUAUACAUGUCACCUGACGUGACGAAUGAUGAAUAAACUCAUGGUUCAUAAUGUACUUUGGAAAAUGAUUUGGAAACAAUGUGCAUUUGCAUUCUGCAGUUUUCUGAGAGUGGAACUGUCCUUGAUGUACAUCAUCAUGCUUGAGUGCUUAUAUUAACAAUCUGUCUUAUGCAGGGUGUUUUGAAGGUCA
RNAcentral lists this unclassified non-coding RNA (906 nucleotides) under Hevea brasiliensis (rubber tree). Lineage: Eukaryota; Viridiplantae; Streptophyta; Magnoliopsida; Malpighiales; Euphorbiaceae. The record is from RNAcentral.